GCCACGCCCGAAGUCAUUACCUCAACCGCAAGGAGGGGGAUGCCUAAGGCAGGGCUAGUGACUGGGGUGAAGUCGUAACAAGGUAGCCGUACCGGAAGGUGUGGCUGGAUCACCUCCUUAAAGGGAGACCUAAUUCGGGUAUGGGAUGAAAAAAAAGUAGUCCCAACCAAGAAUCAAUCCCAAAAGGUCGGAGCGAGGCGAAAUUGGCUUUCAAACUAGGUUCUGGGUUCACAGAAGACCUGAAUCAGGAACAAGGGCUAUUAGCUCAGGUGGUUAGAGCGCACCCCUGAUAAGGGUGAGGUCCCUGGUUCGAGUCCAGGAUGGCCCACCUGCACAGGUGGUAAAAACAAGAGAAGCGAGGAAUCAGCACCUUAUCUUACUUACAUAGUAAGAGAGAAUGCUGGCUCUGAGUAAAGAGUCCAGAGGAACCUUGAAAACUGCAUAGAGCUAGGUGAAAAAGCCAAAAAAGAAGACCGCAAGGUCAAGCUAAUAAGGGCUAACGGUGGAUACCUAGGCACACAGAGG
Molecule: unclassified non-coding RNA, 525 nt
Filed under: uncultured cyanobacterium
Lineage: Bacteria; Bacillati; Cyanobacteriota
Description: partial contains 16S ribosomal RNA and 16S-23S ribosomal RNA intergenic spacer
Rfam family: Bacterial small subunit ribosomal RNA (bases 1-120)
Source: RNAcentral